UACGGAGGAUGCAAGCGUUAUCCGGAAUCAUUGGGUUUAAAGGGUCCGUAGGCGGAUAAUUAAGUCAGGGGUGAAAGUCUGCAGCUCAACUGCAGGACUGCCCUUGAUACUGGUUAUCUUGAAUCGUUGUGAAGUGGCUAGAAUAUGUAGUGUAGCGGUGAAAUGCAUAGAUAUUACAUAGAAUACCGAUUGCGAAGGCAGGUCACUAACAACGUAUUGACGCUAAGGGACGAAAGCGUGGGGAGCGAACAGG
This 253-nucleotide unclassified non-coding RNA is filed under the name uncultured Flavobacteriaceae bacterium. RNAcentral's name for it is "contains 16S-23S intergenic spacer region". It matches the Rfam family "Bacterial small subunit ribosomal RNA", at positions 524 to 776 of the family's 1533-position model. The record is from RNAcentral. Lineage: Bacteria; Pseudomonadati; Bacteroidota; Flavobacteriia; Flavobacteriales; Flavobacteriaceae.